UUUUAAUCUCUGUUAAUUAAUAAAUUAAGAUAAUCACUAAAAUUGUUCAUUAAAACUAAUAGUUCUAUAAUUUAUUUAUUAAAAUUAAUGACACAUCCUAAAAUUAUGGAGAAUGUGACAAAUAAGCCAAAUCACUUCAUAAAUAAUAGUAUAGAUAUUUUUGAAAUUUACAAUUUGCCAUUACUACGUAUAUUGAAAAUGUGAAAUAUAGAUUUUUUAGAAACAAUUUUUUUUUUUUAAACAUAGAUCAUUCUGAAACGGAGAGAAUAAUAUGCAAGACAUAUAUGUUUUUUAACUAAGAAUUUUGAAUUUUCAUAUGUUUAUCAAAAGAAGAAACAUGAUAGUGAUGAUAUAAUUAUUGAUUACCAAUGGUCGACAAAAAAACUUAUUGAUUAUCAUGUCGACAAAAAAACUUAUUAUUGACUACCAGUUUACUAUUAUGAUAAUAUGUAUAUAUUGUGUUUU
Molecule: long non-coding RNA, 465 nt
Filed under: Brassica napus (rape)
Lineage: Eukaryota; Viridiplantae; Streptophyta; Magnoliopsida; Brassicales; Brassicaceae
Description: long non-coding RNA (BNAP_LNC018589)
Source: RNAcentral